RNAcentral lists this ribosomal RNA (301 nucleotides) under uncultured bacterium. RNAcentral describes it as "partial 16S ribosomal RNA". It matches the Rfam family "Bacterial small subunit ribosomal RNA", at positions 509 to 809 of the family's 1533-position model. The record is from RNAcentral.
CAGCAGCCGCGGUAAUACGUAGGGUGCGAGCGUUAAUCGGAAUUACUGGGCGUAAAGCGUGCGCAGGCGGUUUGUUAAGACAGAUGUGAAAUCCCCGGGCUUAACCUGGGAACUGCAUUUGUGACUGGCCGGCUAGAGUAUGGCAGAGGGAGGUGGAAUUCCACGUGUAGCAGUGAAAUGCGUAGAUAUGUGGAGGAACACCGAUGGCGAAGGCAGCCUCCUGGGCCAAUACUGACGCUCAUGCACGAAAGCGUGGGGAGCAGACAGGAUUAGAUACCCGUGUAGUCCCUGUCUCUUAUAA